Physeter macrocephalus (sperm whale) is the source of this 225-nucleotide long non-coding RNA. RefSeq lists it as uncharacterized. The record is from RefSeq and is a predicted model, not a curated record. The transcript has 2 exons. NCBI's taxonomy places the organism in Eukaryota, Metazoa, Chordata, Mammalia, Artiodactyla, Physeteridae.
ACAGAACCUUCCAGAAGUGGGCGGCCCUGGUGGUGCCUUCUGGAGAGGAACAGAGAUACACGUGCUGUGUGCAGCACGAGGGGCUUCAGGAGCCCCUCACUCUGAGAUGGGAACCUCCUCAGCCCACCGUCCCCAUCAUGGGCCUCAUUGUUGGCCUGGCUCUCUUGGUGGUCACUGGAGCCGUGGUGGCUGGAGCUGUGAUCUGGAGGAAGAAGCACUCAGGUA